RNAcentral lists this ribosomal RNA (793 nucleotides) under Salmonella enterica. RNAcentral describes it as "partial 23S ribosomal RNA". It matches the Rfam family "Bacterial large subunit ribosomal RNA", at positions 398 to 1190 of the family's 2925-position model. Lineage: Bacteria; Pseudomonadati; Pseudomonadota; Gammaproteobacteria; Enterobacterales; Enterobacteriaceae. The record is from RNAcentral. RNAcentral also lists the same sequence under 1 other name.
UGUGAGCUCGAUGAGUAGGGCGGGACACGUGGUAUCCUGUCUGAAUAUGGGGGGACCAUCCUCCAAGGCUAAAUACUCCUGACUGACCGAUAGUGAACCAGUACCGUGAGGGAAAGGCGAAAAGAACCCCGGCGAGGGGAGUGAAAAAGAACCUGAAACCGUGUACGUACAAGCAGUGGGAGCACAGGUUUACCUGUGUGACUGCGUACCUUUUGUAUAAUGGGUCAGCGACUUAUAUUCUGUAGCAAGGUUAACCGUAUAGGGGAGCCGGAGGGAAACCGAGUCUUAAUUGGGCGUUAAGUUGCAGGGUAUAGACCCGAAACCCGGUGAUCUAGCCAUGGGCAGGUUGAAGGUUGGGUAACACUAACUGGAGGACCGAACCGACUAAUGUUGAAAAAUUAGCGGAUGACCUGUGGCUGGGGGUGAAAGGCCAAUCAAACCGGGAGAUAGCUGGUUCUCCCCGAAAGCUAUUUAGGUAGCGCCUCGUGAAUUCAUCUCCGGGGGUAGAGCACUGUUUCGGCUAGGGGGCCAUCCCGGCUUACCAACCCGAUGCAAACUGCGAAUACCGGAGAAUGUUAUCACGGGAGACACACGGCGGGUGCUAACGUCCGUCGUGAAGAGGGAAACAACCCAGACCGCCAGCUAAGGUCCCAAAGUCAUGGUUAAGUGGGAAACGAUGUGGGAAGGCCCAGACAGCCAGGAUGUUGGCUUAGAAGCAGCCAUCAUUUAAAGAAAGCGUAAUAGCUCACUGGUCGAGUCGGCCUGCGCGGAAGAUGUAACGGGGCUAAACCAU